CUGGGACAGGAACUAGCCCCAGAGCUGCAGCCCUCAAGCAUAUCCAAUAACUCCUGCUGGUGUGGAUGUUCUUCACAAAGAAGAAUCCAGCUCUCCACAAUUUCUGAUUUCUGAUUUCUGGAGCUACCUGGGACUGGAUUCCAGUUUGGGAAGGUUACAGAGGCAACUGCUUCUGUAUGAGGACAGCAACUUUUCCCCGGGGAGGCAGUGAUACACCAGGAGAACUGCUGACAUCUCCUCACAGCCACCUCUCUGCAGCAGAAUUCAGCUCUCCACAAGUGACUUCUGCCUUCUGGAGCCACCUGGGACUGGAUUCCAGUUUGGGAAGAUUGCAGAGGCAAUUGCCUCUGUCUGAGGGCAGCAACUUUUCCCCAGGGAGGAAGUGAUAUCCCAGGAGAACUUCUGACAUCUCCUCACAGCCACCUCUCUGCAGCAGCAGUAUUUUAUCUACGGAUAUCAGAAGGGACAUUGAGAAGGCCUGGAAAGAAGGGAAGUUGCUGGAAGUAGUCUCUGUGGUCAGGAAGA
This 525-nucleotide long non-coding RNA is filed under the name Urocitellus parryii (Arctic ground squirrel). RNAcentral describes it as "lncRNA (ENSUPAG00010005581.1)". Lineage: Eukaryota; Metazoa; Chordata; Mammalia; Rodentia; Sciuridae. The record is from RNAcentral.